GGAAUGGAAGGGAGCGCUGCCGCUGCCUAGCGCCUUUGCCCCACCCUCCUCUCCAAAUCGCCUCCUCCUCCCAGCCUUCUCGAGAUCUCCACGCUGUAGAUCCAUGGAGGGGAGGCCGCGGACGAGGUCAGAGCGCCGACCUCAUCCACGCGCUCACCUUCGGUACACCGAGGGCAUGCCCCCACUUCCCUCUCGCGCGCGGCCUCUCCUCCGUAUCUCCCGUCUCACCCCGUGCAGCUUCUGUUGCUUGGCGUGCUUGCAGAUGUGGACGAGUUCUACAGCUUGUGUGACCCAGCUCAACCGAAUCGGAUCCUAGGCUUGGAGUUGGUAACCGUCGAAUUCAAUUAUUGUCUUGUCUGCGUGAUGCUGCUCCUGUGCGUGUGGGCUGACGAAUUCGUUAUUUCUUAGAUGAUAACUAGGCAUGCAUGGUUGCAAAUCGUUAUUUCUUUGUCAGCUUGGUCAAAGGUGGGAGGUGUGCAUGAGAGAGGGGCCGCAUGCUCAUUAGUUCAAUCAUAUAUGUGGAACAGACUUUAAAGAAUUUUGAUCUGAAUUGAGUGCUCCAUGUCCUGUUGUUUUGCAGCCCAAUGAUUCGAUUCAUUUCUGAGAUAGGUGGAAUAGUAAGAUUGUUUUCCUUUCAAGAAAAGAACUGGUGGAAGUAAUAGAUCAAUGUUGUUCUAUUUGGUAGCUUAUGGGUCUUGGUCUGUGCACAGAUGUCAUCAUACAUACUUCUCCAGCGUGGAAUGAACACUAUAAGGCAAUUAUAAGGUGCUGAGUACACAAACAGGGAGAGUUAUGCUGUGAGAGGCAAACUGAUGAUGAGGGCAGUGCCUCCAAUCCAUGCCAGCUUCCAUCCAGCAUUUCCUCAACACUCAAGCUUUCAAGAUGCAAACGGGAAGAAACAAACUGUUGCUUGCUAUCAAAGAAAGCAAGCUCCACAUAUAUAAGCCAAGAAGGUAUGCUUCUGGACUUCUGGAUCGAAACUAUCAGAUGAUCCAGUAAGUAGUAUUCACCAACAUGGCUCAAAGUGAAAAGACAAGGUUUAGUUCUUGUAGAACGCCAUUGGGUUCAGCUUAUGUAUUAGUUCAUAUAAGUAGUGUUAGGAACCGCUGGAAAAUAAGGUAGCAGAAUAGAGGAGGCCCUGUGAUGUAUGUAUGAGCACAGAUGUAUGCACAUAUGUAUGUGUGAUCAGAGGAUGAACUAUAUAUGAUGUGUAUGUGGCCUAGUUUUUGUUAA
Panicum virgatum (switchgrass) is the source of this 1233-nucleotide long non-coding RNA. RefSeq lists it as uncharacterized. Lineage: Eukaryota; Viridiplantae; Streptophyta; Magnoliopsida; Poales; Poaceae. The transcript has 4 exons. The record is from RefSeq and is a predicted model, not a curated record.